UGGGUCCCAUAAAUUGUUUGAGAAAACAA
RNAcentral lists this non-coding RNA (29 nucleotides) under Mus musculus (house mouse). The record is from RNAcentral. Lineage: Eukaryota; Metazoa; Chordata; Mammalia; Rodentia; Muridae.